AUCUUGCGCCUAUGGCGUUGAUGUUCUCAGCAGCACCCCAGGUAGUCUGGAUCUCACGACUACGAUGCGUUCUACGCAUUGAUCCAAAAAAAGUUCGCAAAGCUUCCGGAGGCGCGAACGUUCGGCGACCCAAUUGCCGAUGGUUGC
Molecule: non-coding RNA, 147 nt
Organism: Pseudomonas syringae pv. spinaceae
Lineage: Bacteria; Pseudomonadati; Pseudomonadota; Gammaproteobacteria; Pseudomonadales; Pseudomonadaceae
Source: Rfam